GUUUCUUUCUUCCUCUAAACCAAAUCUAAAAUAAUCAGCAGACACUUCAGAAACUUAUGUUUUAGCUAUAACUCCAUAGGGGAAACAAAGACAUCUCAGAGGUAGAGUCUUCCUUCAGUGAAUUUACAGUAUAAGGGUUCCCAAAAUGUAAUUCACAUUGAGCAACAGACACAAUUAAAUUCUAAACUCCAGGGGUCUGUUAAACCGUGACUCCUCCAGAGCUGGUAACAGUGAGAAAGCACCAUCUUCGCCUUUGGUCAGUGUGUUCUCUCUGCCACAG
This 280-nucleotide long non-coding RNA is filed under the name Bos taurus (domestic cattle). RNAcentral describes it as "long non-coding RNA NONBTAT016492". The record is from RNAcentral. Lineage: Eukaryota; Metazoa; Chordata; Mammalia; Artiodactyla; Bovidae.